ACGACGACRSGUAGCCGGCCUGAGAGGGCGACCGGCCACACUGGGACUGAGACACGGCCCAGACUCCUACGGGAGGCAGCAGUGGGGAAUAUUGCACAAUGGGGGAAACCCUGAUGCAGCGACGCAGCGUGCGGGAUGACGGCCUUCGGGUUGUAAACCGCUUUCAGCAGGGAAGAAGCGCAAGUGACGGUACCUGCAGAAGAAGUACCGGCUAACUACGUGCCAGCAGCCGCGGUAAUACGUAGGGUACGAGCGUUGUCCGGAAUUAUUGGGCGUAAAGAGCUCGUAGGUGGUUGGUCACGUCUGCUGUGGAAACGCAACGCUUAACGUUGCGCGUGCAGUGGGUACGGGCUGACUAGAGUGCAGUAGGGGAGUCUGGAAUUCCUGGUGUAGCGGUGAAAUGCGCAGAUAUCAGGAGGAACACCGGUGGCGAAGGCGGGACUCUGGGCUGUAACUGACACUGAGGAGCGAAAGCAUGGGGAGCGAACAGGAUUAGAUACCCUGGUAGUCCAUGCCGUAAACGUUGGGCACUAGGUGUGGGGGGCAUUCCACGUUCUCCGCGCCGUAGCUAACGCAUUAAGUGCCCCGCCUGGGGGAGUACGG
This 603-nucleotide ribosomal RNA is filed under the name Brevibacterium sp. CMT21. RNAcentral describes it as "bacterial SSU rRNA". It matches the Rfam family "Bacterial small subunit ribosomal RNA", at positions 273 to 885 of the family's 1533-position model. The record is from RNAcentral. Lineage: Bacteria; Bacillati; Actinomycetota; Actinomycetes; Micrococcales; Brevibacteriaceae.